Molecule: transfer RNA, 60 nt
Filed under: Falcidens acutargatus
Lineage: Eukaryota; Metazoa; Mollusca; Caudofoveata; Chaetodermatida; Chaetodermatidae
Description: tRNA-Glu
Source: RNAcentral
AUUCUAUUAGUGUAAGCUAACACAGGAAAUUUUCGUUUUCCAGAUUCUUUGAAUAGAAUA